GAUGAACGCUAGCGGCAGGCUUAAUACAUGCAAGUCGUGGGGCAGCAGGUCUGUAGCAAUACAGAUGCUGGCGACCGGCAAACGGGUGCGGAACACGUACACAACUUUCCUUUAAGUGGGGAAUAGCCCAGAGAAAUUUGGAUUAAUACCCCGUAACAUAGUGAAAAGGCAUCUUUUUAUUAUUAUAGCAGCAAUGCGCUUAAUGAUGGUUGUGCGUUUGAUUAGGUAGUUGGCGGAGUAAUAGCCCACCAAGCCUACGAUCAGUAACUGGUGUGAGGGCACGACCAGUCAAACGGGCACUGAGGCACGGGCCCGACUCCUACGGGGGGCAGCAGUAAGGAAUAUUGGGCAAUGAACGCGAGUCUGACCCAGCCAUGCCGCGUGGAGGAUGAAGGUCCUCUGGAUUGUAAACUUCUUUUAUCUGGGAAGAAAUCCAUCUUUUCUUGGGUGGUUGACGGUACCAGAUGAAUAAGCACCGGCUAACUCCGUGCCAGCAGCCGCCGUAA
RNAcentral lists this ribosomal RNA (506 nucleotides) under uncultured bacterium. Its description in RNAcentral is "partial 16S ribosomal RNA". It matches the Rfam family "Bacterial small subunit ribosomal RNA", at positions 28 to 523 of the family's 1533-position model. The record is from RNAcentral.